Molecule: ribosomal RNA, 620 nt
Filed under: uncultured archaeon
Lineage: Archaea
Description: bacterial SSU rRNA
Rfam family: Archaeal small subunit ribosomal RNA
Source: RNAcentral
CCUGGGAAGUACGUACGCAAGUAUGAAACUAAAGGAAUUGGCGGGGAGCCCCCCCAAGGGGUGAAGCCUGCGGUUCAAUUGGAGUCAACGCCAGAAAUUUUACCCGGAGAGACAGCAGAAUGAGGGGUCCAAGCUGAAGACUUUACCAGACAAGCUGAGAGGUGGUGCAUGNCCGUCGCCAGCUCGUGCCGUGAGAUGUCCUGUUAAGUCAGGUAACGAGCGAGAUCCCUGCCGCUAGUUGCUAUCAUUAUUCUCAGGAAUAGUGGAGCGAAUUAGCGGGACUGCCGUUGUUAAAACGGAGGAAGGAAGGGGCUACGGCAGGUCAGUAUGCCCCGAAACUCUGGGGCCACACGCGGGCUGCAAUGGUAGUGACAAUGAGUUCCAAACUCGAAAGAGAGUGGCAAUCUCUAAACGCUACCACAGUUAUGACUGAGGGCUGUAACUCGCCCUCACGAAUAUGGAAUCCCUAGUAACCGCGUGUCAUUACCGCGCGGUGAAUACGUCCCUGCUCCUUGCACACACCGCCCGUCGUUUCAUCGAAGUUUGCUUUUAGCGAGGUGAUGUUUAAUUGGCAUUAUCGAACUUGAGGUAAGCGACGAGGGAAAAGUCGUAACAAGGUA